AUUGAACGCUGGCGGCAGGCCUAACACAUGCAAGUCGAACGAGUGGCGGACGGGUGAGUAAUGUCUGGGAAUCUGCCCGAUGGUGGGGGAUAACGACGGGAAACUGUAGCUAAUACCGCAUACGAUUGGAUGAGCCCAUAUGGGAUUAGCUAGUAGGUGGGGUAACGGCUCACCUAGGCGACGAUCCCUAGCUGGUCUGAGAGGAUGACCAGCCACACUGGAACUUAGACACGGUCCAGACUCCUACGGGAGGCAGCAGUGGGGAAUAUUGGACAAUGGGCGCAAGCCUGAUGCAGCCAUACCGCGUGUAUGAAGAAGGCCUUCGGGUUGUAAAGUACUUUGAUCGAGGAGGCGUUACUCGCAGAAGAAGCACCGGCUAACUCCGUGCCAGCAGCCGCGGUAAUAC
RNAcentral lists this ribosomal RNA (406 nucleotides) under uncultured bacterium. Its description in RNAcentral is "partial 16S ribosomal RNA". It matches the Rfam family "Bacterial small subunit ribosomal RNA", at positions 30 to 526 of the family's 1533-position model. The record is from RNAcentral.